This 659-nucleotide long non-coding RNA is filed under the name Struthio camelus australis. RNAcentral describes it as "lncRNA (ENSSCUG00000016686.1)". Lineage: Eukaryota; Metazoa; Chordata; Aves; Struthioniformes; Struthionidae. The record is from RNAcentral.
CUUCUAAUAUACCAGCAAGGGAGAGGAACUCUUUGCUACAAGCCCUUCAGCAGAGCACUCUCUGGUCCACAGGGGACACAGUUACAUGGUGCAGUGUGGGGCCCAGUUUAACUUCACCUCAUCUUUCCAGCAGUCCCACAACUCUUCAGAAAUGUGGGUGGAGAUCCGUUACACAUUCUUACUAUGGUUACGCGCCAUGAAAAACAGUAAGAACAGCCAACACAGCCUCCAGGUGGUGGAUCAACAUUAAUCAUAAUAGACCCAGGGGCAGAGGAUUGGCAAGAUACCAUGAGAAAUCGUUGUACGUCCAUCCCCUUGAACUCCACUGACCUCCCAUGGGGGACAGGGAUAUGGGCUAAUGUUUGCCUGACGUAGACAGAAGCCAUGGAGGUCUGCAAAUUCAUUUCAGAUCAUCAGAUGUCCUAUAAAGGUCCAAAGUACUUAUCAUUCAAUGACUUUGCAAGAGCAUUUCAAACAUGCUGCACAAUUAACAGGGAUUUUGAAGGCAGGAGAACUAGCAAGAAGAUCUGUCUCCUGCGCUGAUGUCAGUAGCGGUGUGCAGAAGAGUCCCAAGAUCUAUGGGAAUAUUCUUGUAAAACCAUCUCUGAAGCUUGUAAGUAUUUUGCAUGCCUGGAAGGUUGUCUAGAAAUUCCCACCGU